RNAcentral lists this unclassified non-coding RNA (224 nucleotides) under Hevea brasiliensis (rubber tree). Lineage: Eukaryota; Viridiplantae; Streptophyta; Magnoliopsida; Malpighiales; Euphorbiaceae. The record is from RNAcentral.
GGAGAUUGAUGGGUCUUUGGAUGAUUGCAAAUCCUUAGGAGCAGCAAUUGGGUUUGCUUAAGAGGCGUAGUGCAGUUUUCAUCGAGCGGAUAAGAAUAUUGUGGGUCAAACUCUAAAUAUCACAUGGUGAUGAUGAUACUCAUUUAAACCAUGUACGUUUUAUAGAAAAAGGAAGGCAUCUGCAGAACCUGAAAUCCAAGCAUUGGGAAACUUCUGAGAGGUUG